UACAGAGGUCCCAAGCGUUGUUCGGAUUUACUGGGCGUAAAGGGCGCGUAGGCGGCCACCGCAAGUCAGUUGUGAAAUCUCUGGGCUUAACCCAGAAAGGUCAACUGAUACUGCGGGGCUAGAGUGCAGAAGGGGCAACUGGAAUUCUCGGUGUAGCGGUGAAAUGCGUAGAUAUCGAGAGGAACGCCUGCGGCGAAGGCGGGUUGCUGGGCUGACACUGACGCUGAAGCGCGAAAGCUAGGGGAGCGAACGGG
RNAcentral lists this ribosomal RNA (254 nucleotides) under uncultured bacterium. Its description in RNAcentral is "partial 16S ribosomal RNA". It matches the Rfam family "Bacterial small subunit ribosomal RNA", at positions 524 to 776 of the family's 1533-position model. The record is from RNAcentral.